This 468-nucleotide ribosomal RNA is filed under the name uncultured bacterium. RNAcentral describes it as "partial 16S ribosomal RNA". It matches the Rfam family "Bacterial small subunit ribosomal RNA", at positions 28 to 507 of the family's 1533-position model. The record is from RNAcentral.
GACGAACGCUGGCGGCGUGCUUAACACAUGCAAGUCGAACGGAAAGGCCCUGCUUUUGUGGGGUGCUCGAGUGGCGAACGGGUGAGUAACACGUGAGUAACCUGCCCUUGACUUUGGGAUAACUUCAGGAAACUGGGGCUAAUACCGGAUAGGAGCUCCUGCUGCAUGGUGGGGGUUGGAAAGUUCCGGCGGUUGGGGAUGGACUAGCGGCUUAUCAGCUUGUUGGUGGGGUAGUGGCUUACCAAGGCUUUGACGGGUAGCCGGCCUGAGAGGGUGACCGGCCACAUUGGGACUGAGAUACGGCCCAGACUCCUACGGGAGGCAGCAGUGGGGAAUAUUGCACAAUGGGCGGAAGCCUGAUGCAGCAACGCCGCGUGCGGGAUGACGGCCUUCGGGUUGUAAACCGCUUUCGCCUGUGACGAAGCGUGAGUGACGGUAAUGGGUAAAGAAGCACCGGCUAACUACGUG